CUGCAACACUCUCUGGUACGCAUCGCUUAACAAGCUAGUAAGUUACCAAUUGCUUCCAUGGCCACUCAAGCAAAUUCCUCCUCCCCCUCUUCAACUUCUUCAUCAUCUUCUUCUUUUUCUUCUUGCCCUCGAUGGAAAUACCAUGUGUUCCUUAGUUUUUCCGGUGUUGACACCCGAAAGAAUUUCACAGAUCAUCUUUAUACUGCUUUGAAACAAAAGGGUAUUAUCACUUUUCGGGAUGAUGAAAAACUUGAGCGAGGAAAAUAUAUUUCUCAAGAGCUCUUAAAAGCAAUAGAGGAGUCCAAAUAUGCUAUCAUUGUUUUCUCAACAAACUAUGCUUCUUCAAGGUGGUGCUUAAUUGAACUAGCAAAAAUUGUUAAAUGCAAGAAGGAGACCGGAGUGACAGUUUUGCCUGUCUUUUAUCACGUGGAUCCCUCUGAUGUCAGGAACCAGAAUGGCAUUCUUGCUGAAGCCUUUGCUAAACAUGAGAAAGAUAACAGGAUUAACACAGAAGAUGUGCAAGCGUGGAAAGCUGCUUUGAAAGACGUGGGUGAUAUAUCUGGAUGGCAUUUGCAUGAUAGGCAUGAAUCAAUAAUUAUACAAAAAAUCAUUGGAAGGAUAUUUAGUGAGUUGUAUCACAAACUCCCAGGUGUUUCUGAGGACCUUGUUGGAAUGGACUCUUGUGUGGAGGAAAUGUUGGAUUCAUACAUAGGUGAAGGGUUGGGUGGUGUUCGCUUUGUUGGGAUAUGCGGGAUGGGUGGAAUGGGCAAAACAACCCUUGCACAUGAAAUUUAUAGAAGAAUUUCUAGUAACUUUGAAGGUAGAAGCUUUAUUGCUAAUAUUAGAGAAGAAACUAAAAAUCAAGGUCUAGUUUCUUUACAAAAACAACUUCUUUCUCAGAUCCUCAUGGAAAGUGAAAUAAAUAUAUGGGAUGUUUGGGAGGGAAUCAAUGUUAUAAGGAAUACACUAUGUAAUAAAAGUGUUUUUAUUAUUCUUGAUGAUGUGGAUGGAGAUGAGCAAUUAGAAGCAUUGGCAGGGAAGCAUGACUGGUUUGGUCCUGGAAGUAGAAUCAUUGUAACAAGCAGAGAUAGCCAUUUAUUGAUAAGAUGUGGUGUGGAUUACAUAUAUACAGCCAAGGAAUUGAAUAAUGAUUAUGCUUUGCAGCUUUUUAGUUGGAAAGCUUUUCAUAAACCUCAUCCUGAAGAAAAUUAUGUGAAUUUGUCUAAGGACUUUGUGAAUUAUGCUAAAGGCCUUCCUUUAGCUCUUAAAGUUUUAGGUUCUUUAUUGUUUGCUAAAAAAUUGAAAGAAUGGGAAAGUGCCCUAUAUAAACUAAAAAAAGAACCUAAUAGAAACAUUUUGGAUAUACUUCAAAUAAGUCUUAAUGGGCUUACAAAUUCGGAGAAAGGAUUGUUUCUAGAUAUUGCAUGUUUUUUCAAAGGAGAGAACAAAGAUUGCAUAAGAGAUAUAUUGGAAAGUUUUUAUUAUUCUCUAGACUACGAUAUUGGUGUUCUUAUGGACAAAUCUCUCAUAACCAUUUAUGACGAUGGAACUUUGUGGAUGCAUGAUUUGCUACAAGAUAUGGGUCAAGAAAUCGUUCGUUGUGAAUCUCCUAAAGAACCUGGUGGACGUAGUAGGUUGUGGAUUUAUGAUGAUGUCAUUCAUGUAUUGCAGAAUAAUUCUGGAACAGAGGUAGUUGAAGGCAUAAUGGUAAACAUGCCUAUUCAAAAAGUGAAACAUCUGAGUGCUGAAGCCUUCUCAAAGAUGAAAAAUUUGAGAUUGCUUAAAAUUAGUAGUGAAAAACUUCCAGGAGACUUCAUAAAUGGUACUAUGCAACUUCCAAAAGACCUCAUUAGAGGUAAGGUGCAACUUCCACAAGGCCUCAAUUAUCUUUCUAAUGAGUUAUGUCUUCUCGAAUGGCAUGGAUAUCCUUUAAAAUGUUUACCAACCAAUUUCCAACUAAACAAAAUUGUUGAAUUGAGAAUGCAUUGUAGUGGCAUCAAACAACUAUGGAAUGGAAACAUGAAUUUAGGCGAGUUAAGACUCAUUGACCUAAGUGACUCUCAAAACUUGAUUGAGAUACCAGACCUUAGUGGAGCCCCAAAGCUUAAGCAAUUGAUUUUUCGACAUUGUACAGGACUAUAUAAGAUUCAUGCAUCUAUAGAAGAUCUCAAACAACUUAUUCGAUUGGAUCUGAAUGGUUGCAAAUGUAUCGAAAGCCUUCCUCACAAGAUCAGCUUGGAAGCACUUGAAAUUUUGGAUCUUGGUGGUUGUUCAAGACUGAAGAAAGUUCCAGAAAUUGUAGGAAAUAUGUCACGUUUGUCAAAACUUUGUUUGAGUGAGACAGCUAUAAAAGAUCUACCAUUAUCAGUAGAGUAUUUAACUGGCCUUAUUGAAUUGGAUCUAAGAGACUGUAAAAACCUUUCAAGUCUUUCGAAUGCAUGUUGUUGUUUGAUGUCUCUAAAAAUUCUCACCUUAUCUGGUUGCUCAAAACUUGAAGAAUUACCAGAGAAUUUGGGUAAUAUCGAAGGCCUAGAAAAGCUAGACGUGAGUGGAACUGCUAUAAUAGGGCUACCUUUAUCUGUUGUUCACUUAAAAAAUCUCAAAGUACUAUCUCUCUGUGGAUGUGUGGGGCUAUCAUCUAAAUCAUUCAAUAAGCUCCUGAGUUUUCCUUUAAUGCAACGAAAAAGAAGUCCUGAUCCCAUGGGCAUGUUAGAGUGUUCUUUACAAGGCUUAUGGUCUUUGACGAAGCUGGAUUUUAGUUAUUGCAAUAUUCAAACGAUUCCUAAUGCUCUUGGGUCGUUGUCAUCUUUAAAAGAGUUAAAUCUAAAAGGAAACAAUUUUGUUUGCCUUCCUAAAAGUAUCAUUCAACUAUCUAAUUUGAAAACCCUUUAUUUGGGUGGUUGCACUCAACUUCAAAUGUUGCCCAAGCUUCCAUUAAAUAUGCUUUUUAUCAAUGCAACAGGGUGUACCUCAUUGGAAACAUUAUCAUUAAGUCCAGAAUAUCAUUUUGGGCCGGUUAUAAUGCUUUUCAAUUGCGUCAAAUUGAUUUAUAAUCAAGGCAAAGGUGACCUGUUGUCAACAAUUCUAAGACAUUAUAUCAUUGAGGGAUGCUUUGGCUCGAAUUUGUUCACAUAUCUCACAAUUCCUGGGAGUGAAAUUCCGAAUUGGUUUAGGCACCAAAAUGUGGGGGCUUCAGUGAAUCUGCAAGUGCCUUCACAUUUAUUAUUAAGUAGCAAAUUUAUGGGAAUUGCAGUGUGCGCUGUUUAUAUAUUCCGCCAACAUCAUCCACUUCACCAACUUCAUAUUCAAAAUACGGAGUCGCUUAGUUGUUCCGUUAAAGCCAACGGAAGUCAACCUUAUGCAGUGGGCCUUUGGUUAUUGGAGGGAUUUGGUAAAAUUGAAUCGUAUCAUCUUUGGCUCGAAUUUUUUCCCUAUAAAAAACGCUUCGAAAGGCUCUGGAAAGAAGUAUUGGAUGCUAAUGAAUUCACCCAAAUUGAGGUUACAUUUAAAACCGAAGGCCUAGGCUGGGAGUUAACGAAAUGCGGAGCCCAUUUGAUAUUCGAGCAAGACAUUGAAGAUCUCAAACAAACUAAGCCUGGGUCUAGCGGCUGCACUAUCACUCCUUAUUAUGAGGAUGAUGAUUUAGGGGGCGAUCCAGAGAAAGAUACCAAAAUCAAGGAAAGCCGUGAUGAUGAACCACCACACCCAAAGUGGACAGAGCACCCUAAUCUAAUUGAAAACUGGAUUGGGAAUUCAUGCAUGCAAGGACAAGGUGACUCUGAUUGUGAGUGAGGAAAGAGGAAUCCCAGUGAAAGUGGCAACUUUGAUGAAUCUGCACACAGACAAAGAGGCUACGCAAUGCUGAAUGGCACAGUUGAUCUUACUACAACGACCACUACACUGUCUUUGAGUGUCUGUGGUGUUGAUGCUGAUGAUGAUGGAGUGGAACUAGGUUUGGUGCAAUUUCUGUGGCUACAAGGAAACUUGAGGUUAAUUAAAGUGAAAAGGGUACCAGUUGGAGCUAUGCCAGAAAGCUUUGGAGGAGAACAUUUUUGUUUAUUUGGGGAUAGGUUGUGGGACGACCACAUUGUUGUACUGCUUAUACAUGAGCUGGGUCACUUGAUAAGGAAGCCCCAUAAGGGCAUAUGUGUCAUCCUCGCCCCUACGGUGGCUCUAGUUCAGCAGGUAAGCUACUAUCUAUCAUGUUGGUUUUGUAAUUUGAUAGUCAGUUUUGGCUUGUAUUUAAUUUGAGACAAUAUUUGUUGGUUAUAUGGCUGGUACAUUGCACAAUAAUGAAGUGAUGUGCUCUUUGGCUUGGCUGAGGUUGUAGGUAUGUAGGUUGUGAGAAGCAGGUAGAAUUGUUGCUUUUUAGUGCUUAUCUAUGCAAUUUCUCAUUGUGAUUCUAUAUUUUAAGAAGGGCCUUUUUGAAUCUAGGUCCUUCAAGUUCACCUUGAAAGGGAGUUUGGUAUUUUAUCAACAGAACCAUGACUAUACUAAUGAAGUAUGAACUCAUGACCCCUUGAAAUAUAUAAACAAAAUCAAUAUAGGGUUAGACUACCAGAUAAUAGAAAAGCAUCAAUUCCCAGAACCAAGGAUUCAAUUCCUAGAAAUUGACCAACCUUGAUAGUGCAGAAAUUUGGGCUUAUUCUUUUAACAGCAAGGUGAUAUGUAGUGUUUUAGCAAGCAAUAAAGGAUUGUGUGGCCUCUUUAUCUGUUAAUUGGGUCUCAUUUGUCAAUUGAUGAUUGAUAAUUGUGAAAGAAAAAUGCAAAACUAUAAUUGUGAUUUAUGAGGCAUGACCCAGUAGAACAAGAACCUCUAUUGAGGAAUUUUACCUUGAGAGACUGAGACAACCUCACUGAUACCAUUCUUAAAGAUAUGGGAAAUCAACCUCUCCACUACUUGCAUAGUUGCCUUCAGUACUCUUGUGCUCUUCCUUCUAUCUUAAAUUUAAAUAAAGUAUCUCAUUUGUUUCUUAUUCUCUUUGUGAUUUGGUAAGAAAUGAUUUUUCCAUCCUUUCAAUCAUAUUAGCACUUCCUUAUUUAAAAAAACAAAAACAUUUCUUCUUUUUUAGUUUUCCUGUCAAUCAAAUUUUCCAUAGUUGAAUACUUUCCUACAUGAUCUGUUAUUUAUUGUUUGAUUUGAUCUUAGAUCUGUGCACUUUUGUUAAGGACAUCAAAAGUUAAUUUUAGAUCAUAUGUGGUCUUUUGCAAGUCAAAUUGACUUGGGCACUCUACCUUACCAAUUAAUUAUUGGUAGGAUGUGGAUGUUGUGUUGAAAAUUUAACCUAAUUCCCAUAACCUAUGAGAUGUGAAAAUUGAGGAAAAAAAAAAGAACAACCACACAACACAAAUA
RNA transcript from Quercus robur (English oak), 5353 nucleotides. It is a transcript of the gene named disease resistance protein RUN1-like, with no coding region annotated. Lineage: Eukaryota; Viridiplantae; Streptophyta; Magnoliopsida; Fagales; Fagaceae. The record is from RefSeq and is a predicted model, not a curated record. The transcript is spliced from 10 exons.